Molecule: transfer RNA, 88 nt
Filed under: Nitrososphaerota archaeon
Lineage: Archaea; Thermoproteati; Nitrososphaerota
Description: tRNA-Ile
Rfam family: tRNA
About the family: Transfer RNA (tRNA) molecules are approximately 80 nucleotides in length.
Source: RNAcentral
GGGCCCGUAGCUCAGUUCGGUCAGCGUAACCGACCAAAGCGACCGGCUCAUAACCGGUCGGUCGCCAGUUCAAAUCUGGCCGGGCCCA